Non-coding RNA from Phrynosoma platyrhinos (Desert horned lizard), 70 nucleotides. The record is from the annotation of a GenBank genome assembly. Lineage: Eukaryota; Metazoa; Chordata; Lepidosauria; Squamata; Phrynosomatidae.
GCCAGUGUAGUGUAGUGGUUUUGCGCUGAACUAGGACUCUGGAGACCAAGGUUCAAAUCCUGGCUUGCCA